CGUGUUUCGACAUCGGUGUGCGAGGCUACAAAGCCCUCAAGGAUGGGAAGUUAUGGGUCCCAGCCAUUUCGAAUUGAUGCCUGUGAAAUGAAGUCGUAUUUGACGAUUUAUGGGUACGCACCUCAAAUGAAACUCGUGACAUGCAUUAUGAGCGCCGAUAGGAAGAUUGCCAACCACGUUAGGUUACCAAUGGCGCUUUGUGCCAAACGAUGAAUCUCGUACGAAGCUUCAGGUGGUGAAAACCCAAGGUGGUGAGAACCCAAUCUCGCCAGUUAGUUGGCGUCUUACGCAAGCAAGGGAAACUAGACGGUACAUCGCGAGUGCCCAAGUAUACGUAAAACAGACGAACUUGG
Ornithodoros turicata is the source of this 353-nucleotide long non-coding RNA. RefSeq lists it as uncharacterized. The transcript has 4 exons. The record is from RefSeq and is a predicted model, not a curated record. Lineage: Eukaryota; Metazoa; Arthropoda; Arachnida; Ixodida; Argasidae.